GCUAAGACUUUUUCUUGUUCGGUACAGCUCCGAGACUUUGGAAUCAUAGCUGGCUGGCGAAGAAAUGCCCUUCCA
Branchiostoma floridae (Florida lancelet) is the source of this 75-nucleotide non-coding RNA. Lineage: Eukaryota; Metazoa; Chordata; Leptocardii; Amphioxiformes; Branchiostomatidae. The record is from Rfam.